UAGGGAAUCUUCGGCAAUGGACGAAAGUCUGACCGAGCAACGCCGCGUGAGUGAAGAAGGUUUUCGGAUCGUAAAACUCUGUUGUUAGAGAAGAACAAGGACGUUAGUAACUGAACGUCCCCUGACGGUAUCUAACCAGAAAGCCACGGCUAACUACGUGCCAGCAGCCGCGGUAAUACGUAGGUGGCAAGCGUUGUCCGGAUUUAUUGGGCGUAAAGCGAGCGCAGGCGGUUUCUUAAGUCUGAUGUGAAAGCCCCCGGCUCAACCGGGGAGGGUCAUUGGAAACUGGGAGACUGGAGUGCAGAAGGGGGGAGGGGAAUUCCAUGUGUAGCGGUGAAAUGCGUAGAUAUAUGGAGGAACACCAGUGGCGAAGGCGGCUCUCUGGUCUGUAACAGACGCUGAGGCACGAAAGCGUGGGGAGCAAACAGG
RNAcentral lists this ribosomal RNA (429 nucleotides) under Gemmatimonadota bacterium. Its description in RNAcentral is "Gemmatimonadetes bacterium partial 16S ribosomal RNA". It matches the Rfam family "Bacterial small subunit ribosomal RNA", at positions 355 to 776 of the family's 1533-position model. The record is from RNAcentral. Lineage: Bacteria; Pseudomonadati; Gemmatimonadota.